Molecule: ribosomal RNA, 249 nt
Filed under: uncultured bacterium
Lineage: Bacteria
Description: partial small subunit ribosomal RNA
Rfam family: Bacterial small subunit ribosomal RNA
Source: RNAcentral
AGGACGAACGCUGGCGGCGUGCUUAACACAUGCAAGUCGAACGAGGCGCUUGCGCCUAGUGGCGAACGGGUGAGUAACACGUGAGCAACCUGCCCCUUGGCUCUGGGAUAGCCUCCGGAAACGGGGAUUAAUACCGGACAUGACCUUCUCCUGCAUGGGGGAGGGUGGAAAGUUUUUCGGCCAGGGAGGGGCUCGCGGCCUAUCAGCUUGUUGGGGGGGUAACGGCCCGACCAAGGCGACGACGGGUAG